GGCCCCAUGGUCAAGCGGUUAAGACACAGCCCUUUCACGGCUGUAACAGGGGUUCGAGUCCCCUUGGGGUCACCA
Molecule: transfer RNA, 75 nt
Filed under: Clostridiaceae bacterium
Lineage: Bacteria; Bacillati; Bacillota; Clostridia; Eubacteriales; Clostridiaceae
Description: tRNA-Glu
Rfam family: tRNA
About the family: Transfer RNA (tRNA) molecules are approximately 80 nucleotides in length.
Source: RNAcentral